UAGAACAUAGUCUCUGCUACGUUUUAAUAGAAACAAAGGAGUAAACUCCCACAUACAAAGGUGUUUAAAUAUUUCCAUUAUAGAACUAUUAAGUUCAUACUUCAACAGAAAACCAUACAACCACAGUUAUUAAACAUAAGCACUAAGGCCGGUAUAUAUAUAUACUACACAUAGUAAAAUAGAGCUUAAAUGCUUAUAUCAGUUGUGAGUUUGGGCCUCAUGAGCUUGUUNUAUAUAUAUAUAUAUAUAUAUAUACUACACAUAGUGAAAUAGAGCUUAAAUGCUUAUAUCAGUUGUGAGUUUGGGCCUCAUGAGCUUGUUUGUAUGCAGUUGCCUCUGCAUAAGUGCUGCAACACCUGCACCCUCCGUUGUAGUAACGUCCACCACCACAGCAACCAUAUCUACAAUAGCCUCCUCCACGGCCGCCGCCACCGUUGUAUCGUCCACCACCGUUAUUGUAUCUUCCACCACCGUUGUUGUAUCUUCCACCACCAUUGUUGUAACCUCCACCACCGUUGUUGUAACCUCCACCACCAUUGUUGUAUCCACGGUCAUUACCACCAUACUUUGCAUCUUCUACCUCACCUGCAUAUAUCAAUCAUUUUUUCAGUAAUGUACAUUUAAUUGCAUGAAUCCUGUAUAGAAUUCUGGGAAUUUUAAAGGAAACAUCCUGUAAAAAAAGCCAAUUUCAUGAUUUCAUCUAAGAACAUUAAAUUUACUCACUGUGAUUGUUGGACUCCAGGUUCUUAGCUGCAGCCAUUUCGGAGCUAAUGAAAAGAAUAGUUGCUAGAGCAAGUGCAAGAAGAAGGAAAGUCUUCGAAGACAUUUUGACGUGUUUCAGAAAGAAAAUAUAUUCAGAAAGAAAAUAUAUGGAAGAAGGAUGAAGAACCAUUGUGGUAAUAUUCCUCUAUUUAUGAGGAAGGAUUUAUGCAGGUGAAGAUUUAUUGCAGAUUGGUUUGGUGGCUAGGAGCUGGUGGGACCAAGCUUUGAUUGGCUUUGACAUUUUGAAACCUAUUCUUAUCCUCAACAUCUUGUGCCGCAAUUCAUUUGUUUUGUUUUAUAUUCUAAGAUGUCAUAUAAGAUGUCUCGUUCAGUAUAAAAACCAAGUUCAACCUUAAUUAUUAUUAUUUUUUAACUAAAACCAACUCAACAAACUUUGUGGUAUAGAAGUGUGAACGGGUCAACAUUUAUUUAUGAACCAUCCACCAUUAUCGUCUUGGAGCCCGAUGUGAGACUAAUAAUGUAAUAUGUUUUCCUUUGUCUACAGUUAUAUACCUCUCAUUUUUUUAAGUCCUUCAAAUUUUUUAGUUAGGGUACGUCUUCAGCUUUUGGUAUAUAUAAUUUCUAAAAUUUUUUAAUUUUUUAGCUAAAAGUUUUAAAUAAAGAUCUUAAUAAAAGUUUUAUGUAGACAUAGCAGGUAAACGGGUUAAAAGUUGCACUGCAAUCCUUUUUUGAAUAGUAAAACAAAUCUUUUUGAAAAUCACAUCCUAGAUCUAGGGUCAGAACAUUACUAUGCAUGACCUAUUGGACUCCAAUCAGGAGCUCCACAGCAUCUGGCGCAAAGAAACCAAAAUUUUCAAACAUGAAAUGUAUAAACAUGUGUUGAAUUGUCAUGCAUGUUUUCUCUUGUUUUGACACUUUGUAUGAGGCAUCUUCUAAAGCGGUAUGCCCUACAGUGAAAACGUCAUUCCCCAUGCCUAUAAGAGGGGAAACCUUUGUUAGAUCAACACAUGCGUGUUUCCAUCCUAUCCAUCCAAGAAUCAAAACAUCAGUUGGUUUAAGCAUUGAUCUACCAUCCAAAGGGUCAGUCAUAAAGUUCACAGGUGCCCCUUUCUUGGCUGAAACAUUGACAUGCCAAAAAAUUCAACGUCCCUAACCAAAUUCUGUCUGUACUUGAAACCCGAGAGCUCUCUACAAUAUAUUACGUGCUCUCCAAAAGAGUCCAAUCAUGCCUUGCGAUAGAUAAGAUGUAACUUGUUAACCAGAAAUAACAUGAUCAUAAGGUGAUACUUAAGGAUAACAUUAUACUCCAAAGGUAACAUAUGUUAGCCAAGGCCAUCAAUAAGACUGUCAUAAGAAAUAUGAAGCAUGUGGUGUUUGGAGAUACUUAAAAAUUGUUUCUUUCUAACUUUCAGGUUGAAAUGUACUUCCAUGUCUUUGGCAAUUUUAUUAAAAAAGGCACUCGCCAACGCAUGUUGGGAUUUAGGAGUGGUAAUGUCAUUAUUAGUAAAACUACUAAAGCCAAUGCUGAAAUCGUAUUCCGAAGAAAAGUCGAAGCACAAACAUAAUAAAAAAUCAUAGUACAUAUGUUAUUAUCCCAUAAGAUGUGCUCUUACAACACGGGUGAUUAAGCCCAUGAGGUCACAAAAGCAUAUGAGGAAGCCUCUACCAAUGAGUAUAACCCUAGAGCAUCAAACCUAAUAUUAAUGAAGCAAGUUGCUAUUGGAUGUCGCCAAAGAAAAGAACUCCACAAACAACCAUAUCCACAAUCGACACAUGACAUCUUUUAUCAAAGAACAUUGUUGCUUCCUACAUGUGAACGAGUUGGUACACACUCAAGCCAAUGAAUAGUUUGGCAAUGCCCAUGCGAGAUCAAAGCAAAAGGAAAUCACCCCAUAACACCAAACCUAUUUGGAGAACGGGCAUAUAAACAACAAUGUUGGCAAGUUUAUUCAUAGCUAAGCCACUAAUAAACCACACGUCCUUACUAAUAGCUCCCCCAAAAACUUCACCCCUAAUAAUGGCCUCCUAAUGUUGACAUGCAAUACCCCUCACGAAACUUCCUACCAUCACAUAAAUGCCAAAAUAGUUUAGUUUUCUUGAUAUUCAGUUUAAAUAUAACGUCACAUUUUUCGCAACCAAAAAUUUUCAUUUUUAAUUAAGGUAAGGCUGCUCCUUCUCAUAAUACAAGUUAAGAAAAGCAAUAGUUCCAAAGUAAAUUUUUGCAAAUCUAAGUAUUAUAGUAAACACAGAAUCUUCAUUGUUACUCCUGAAUGCAGUCACGCCUUCGUCUUUCCAUGAUCACUGAUGAUACCCGAUAACAAUAACACUUGGGUGAGCAUGAAGCUUAGUGAGUUCCCCCAAAAUACCUUACACAACAAAUACAUAUAUACAACCUGCAUACUAGGUUUGUUGGCUUGCUGCCUCAACCUAACCAUUCUUUCGGUUUGUUGGCAUGCUGCCUCAACCCAACUGCUUUUUGGGUUUGUUGGCCUGCUACCUCAACCUAACUGCUACAAUAUGUCGACAUAUAAACAAUUAACAGAUCGAGUAGGCACAUAAAUAUAGGAAACUACCAAUAAUACAACUCACUAUCGUGUACUAGACCACUAACAUCACACUACUCUACAAACAACAAAUCUCCAUGGAAUGCACAACCAUAAGUAACCAGAGGUGGGAUAGCCACCCGAAUAGAUGAUCAUACUCUAGAGCCACAUCUAGACGUUAACCAGCCAACUGAUACUCUAACCAACAUACCACUACUACUGCAUCAUACCACAUAAGGAUAUAAAUUUAUCAAACAGCUCACUACAACGUAGUAAUAUCCUAUACAAAAUGAUACGUAACCAAAUCUAGUGGGUCGACAUUGGUACCUUUGACCCACGGGUAUAGUGAGGAAAACUCACCUGAAUCGAAAAACCGAGAAACACUACGAUACUCUCCCUUUUCUACAUUGCUUGCUCCCACAAACCUUCUAACACAAAAAACAUGGAAGAACAUUAAUAAAAUAGGCCAACUACCUCUCACGGCGUGAAAAUCUAUUGGUCACGUCGUAAGCCGCUAAAAGACCAAAUAGUAACAAUCCUUCGAUCCUCACAACAUGACAGGCAUAGCAUCACGUCGUGAGAACUGUCUAAAUGACAUUUAGAUGAGUAAAACCCCUUAAUCCAUUAUGCCACAAAUCCACAUCCUCUAGAAGGCUUCCUAACACCCCAAAAGUCAUAAAAAUCGAUGCUUUAAGGUCUUGUAUGUCCAAUGCAAGAAUUGAGUUCAGAUUAGGUAAUUUAUGAAGAAAAGGAGGUCAAAACCUCUUGUAUGAGCUCAAACGUCACAUAAAUUUCAGAUCCACCACAUAUAAGCAGCAAGGGACUCCAAGGACCUAUAAAGUUGCUAACUUUAUGGUGUCCCAACACUCUAACUCAUCUAACCAUGGAUAAUCAUGAAUAAAACCCUAGAUCUAGCAACAAGAAAUCAUAAAGAUUGAAUCUUGGUUACUCACAAAGGUCCAUAAAUGUUGAUAGAAGAUGAAAAUGAUGCUUGCAAGUUGGAUCUAUCCUCCAAAGAUGAUCCGUUCUUCUUCAAGUCACCAAAACACCACCAAAUGCUCAAGAACUCAAUUAUGGGGCUAGCGUCUUGUUUGGAAUGAAAGGAUGCUGAAGAAGAUACCCUAGGUUAUGAGAUAAGUUCCUUACAUAUGGAAAAAACCCUAAAAUUCAUGGGCUUGGCUGCAACCAGCCUCACAAUGUUAGGACCAUAAUGUCACACCAUGACUCUCAUUUCCACGUGUCAUGUCACAACCUCCUCAUGGUCAAGCGUGACACCUAUUUUUCCUAAAAGUCAUGCCUUGACUCCUUGAUGCUCCAAGCCAAUUUGUUUUCCUAAAAGCGUAACCUAGAAACCCUGAACUCGAAACUCUAAACACUAAACCCUAAAUCUACAUCUUAUAUAUACAAGAACCAUUAGUAUAAUAUCUGAAUACACAUUGAUGGCUUCUUACCAUGCGACUUGGGCUGAAUGAAAUUGGAAGUCUCAUGUUGUAUCCAUUCAAUUUAAAGUCUUGCAUUAUUGAUCCGACAAAUAAAAAAGGUGAGAAUCAGCAUCAAGUAUGAUUCCUGCUGAUAGAGCAUAUAUUUCACUGGGCACUUGAAAACCCAACCCCACCCUACCCUCUAGAAUAUCUACACUGUUACAUGUAUAUAUUAUUGAUGUAACUCUAACUUUAAGACCACAACUUUAUGCAAAGCGUUAGCUCACUAGUUGGAAAAAGGGCUUAAUACACCAGUAAUAUGGAAAGGGUAGUGUAUAAUUCUCCCCCGAUUAAAUUAGAUUUCCCCCUCGAAAUAUGACGUGGUUAGAAUUUUAACUGCGAUAACACAAUUCAUAUUCUACCUCCAACCACUUCACAUAAUCAAUACAUCCAUAUCGAACUCGAGAGGCCAUCUAUAACCCAACGGAUGCCAAUAAACCACCCAAACAUUUGGAACACUCAAUUUCAAUAACUACUUCUUUCUCCCAAAGCUAAGAACCAACUCAUACCGAAGCCACUUAACUGGGAUCGAACUUCCAUAACUGUAUCUUCUAACCAUGUCCAUCAAUGUAGUUUACAAAAUUAGGAGUCCAACAGUCCAACUCUAGAGACAUACAUAAUGGAUGACAAUCAUCCACUCGUUAUUCUUACCCCAAGCCCCUGAUCAGGAACACCACUAAACUGUAUAUCAACACUCAAAACAUUUCGAUCAAGAAUUCCAACCCAACCUAAAUUUGGAAACCUCAUAAAUGUUCUCAAAUAUACACUUGACUUCCUGGCAAGUCGUGAGUAACCAACGUUUACCACAAGCAUAACCAUGGUUAGUACAAAACCCUAUGCGACACUCAAACUCCCACAACAGCUCAGGUGCACAACCAUCUACCAAAACAUCCCAGAGACUUAUCACCACCUGCAUCACUGAUCUCUUGGCAUUCCAACCAGCAUACCCAUACCCCUAUGUGAUUUCAAAAAACUAUGGGUCAUCAGCGACCCAUGGGUUAUCAUUGGUCCUGAAAAUACUCAUGACAUCUAUCAGCUACUAAGACUCAGCUAGUCUAGUAUGCACACCACUAUGACAUAGGAAAUAUAGGGGAGAGAUCACAUGAAACCUCAUCAUAAAACAAACAUAGGUCCGCUAAUAAGAAACCCAAUAAUGAGUUUUUAAUAUACCACCAUGACUUCUGUGAACACCCUAUAACUGUCAAACACAACAUGCCGGUUACUGAGCUGUCAGCGACAACAUUAUACUGCACAUUGUAUGCCUAUGCCACACAAUUAAUAAACCCACACUUGGGUCUCCACUACAAAACUGUCGGCCGCCACUAAAAAAUGAAAUCCACGAUGGCUCACAGCACUUCGUAACACCAUUCAACCAUUAGGAUGAGAAGCUCACUAAUUGUUACUGUUGUUUUCAUCAUCCGACCACAAGCAUGAUAAGUCCCAACCAACAUCCAACAUGAAACAUCCCAAAAAUACGGUCCAUAUAUUCCAUUUUUAAUUAUUUAUAAAACCAUAAAUACCAUCCAUCAUCCCAUAAGAACAUAAGUAAUGUAUCUCGAAUCAUCAUCAUAAUAUAUUGUAUCAAAAUCAUGUGCCAAAAUAUCAGAGUCUAAAACAUCCUAGGAUGAACAAAUGGUGUGUGCACUGCAAUCAUCCCGAGCUCUUGCCUUUGCUACCGGAAGUACUUGAAACCAAAACUGAAAACUGUAAGCACGAAGCUUUUUGAGUCUUCCCAAACUACCCUUUCCAUACACAUAACAUAUAACAUGAAACUAGGAGAUACGGGCCUCGCCCGAACUCGAUGAGAUACGGGCCCCUGCCCACACUUGGCUAACUAUGAGAUACAAGCCUCGCCCACACUCAGUUAACUAUGAGAUACAGGCCUCGCCCACACUAUGCUAACUAGGAGAUACGGGCCUCACCCACACUCAGCUAGCUAGGAGGUACGAGCCUCGUCCACUCUUCGCUAGCCGGGAGAUACGGGUCCCCGCCCACACUCCGCUAACUAAACAUACAUACAACUAUCACGCAGACAACAUGUAUAACAUAAUCUACCAGUUCAUAAACAUACUUAGGUAAUACUAAGAUACGGGCUCUACCCACACUUAGCUAUUAAUCAUAAACAAGUCUAAGAUACGGGCCCAACCCACACUUAUCUAUUAAACAUAAACAAUUCUAAGAUACGGGCCCAGCCAAAACUUAGCUACUAAACAUAAACAAUUCUAAGAGAUGGGCCCAGCCUACACUUAGCUACUCCAUACGGGCCAACAUUGGUGUCUUCGACCCAUUCAUACUGACGGAAACUCACCUCUUAACUUGGCUGAUGAAAUCUCGUGUAAGGAAUCUCCGACUACUGCUCCAACGACUCCCUGACUAUCAUUCACAUUAAUAACUUAGUCAAAAACGGAGAAUCCUUCUAAGGGUGAAAUGACCUUUUUACCCCUGGUCAAACUCAACAUUCUAAGUUGACCUAACUCACCGGGUUGACCUAUCAACUCGCCAAGUUCUAUAACUUAAAAAUCCUGAAAUCGCGAUCCAUCUCGCCAAGUCACCCCUUGACUCGCCGAUUUCCCUGUCUGCUUAUAGUCGCGAUUUGGCGAAUCAACUAGUCGAGUCCCUUCACAAACUCGUCGAGUUCUACCUUAAGCUGAAACGAGACAACACGACCCGACUUGUCGAGUUCCUCUAUGGACUUGAUGAGUUCCUCUGUUUGUUUCAGUCAUCUUAACAAAUUAAGCCUCUGCUCUCCAGAUCCAAAGUCCAUACUUCAUCUACAUAUUGGGAAUGGCCUCUUAAGGGUAAAGUUUCGAACUUUACCCGUCAAUAGUCCUUCUUAAUGGGUUUAGCUAAAAUCCUAUCUCUUUAGGGCAUAGAUCUUUGUCCAAAAACCAUACGACUCCAAACCAAAGCAUGAAAAUGUAGAUAUAGGUCCUAGACAACAAAUGGACACGUAAAGUCUCAGACUUUCCUUCCUUGUAUGGCAUUUUGGGCUUAAAAGGCCAAACCAACACCUUAGGGCUUGCUUGGGGGCUUUAAUUGCAUAAAGUUUGCACCUUUAUGCCUUAACAACCCUUAAUGAUCCCAAAUCUGAAGGGAUCCUUGCUUGGGACGUCCAUANAGUCACCCCUUGACUCGCCGAUUUCCCUGUCUGCUUAUAGUCGCGAUUUGGCGAAUCAACUAGUCGAGUCCCUUCACAAACUCGUCGAGUUCUACCUUAAGCUGAAACGAGACAACACGACCCGACUUGUCGAGUUCCUCUAUGGACUUGAUGAGUUCCUCUGUUUGUUUCAGUCAUCUUAACAAAUUAAGCCUCUGCUCUCCAGAUCCAAAGUCCAUACUUCAUCUACAUAUUGGGAAUGGCCUCUUAAGGGUAAAGUUUCGAACUUUACCCGUCAAUAGUCCUUCUUAAUGGGUUUAGCUAAAAUCCUAUCUCUUUAGGGCAUAGAUCUUUGUCCAAAAACCAUACGACUCCAAACCAAAGCAUGAAAAUGUAGAUAUAGGUCCUAGACAACAAAUGGACACGUAAAGUCUCAGACUUUCCUUCCUUGUAUGGCAUUUUGGGCUUAAAAGGCCAAACCAACACCUUAGGGCUUGCUUGGGGGCUUUAAUUGCAUAAAGUUUGCACCUUUAUGCCUUAACAACCCUUAAUGAUCCCAAAUCUGAAGGGAUCCUUGCUUGGGACGUCCAUAUCCCAAGGGUCAAGCUUCUUGGACCCAAAACCCAAUAAAAUGGACUUAAGGAGGUAUAAUAAACUAAUAAACAAGGUAGAAGCUUGAUUACCAGAAAAUGAAGGGAAUAAGAUGUUCUUCCGGAUCUACUAUCUUCUCCUUGAAUCUUCUAGCUCCUUCUUCUUCCACAAGCUUCAACAACACACAAAAUUCACUCAAAAUGGCUCAGUAACUCUCAUAAAGCUCUAGGGUUUCGUGGAUUACGGUUUGGGACUUGGAGGAUGGAAAUGAGGCCAUAAGGUGGGGAUUAAGAUGGUUAAAUAAGGUGUAAAACCCCGAAAUUAGGGUUUCAUUCUGGCAUACCUACUCGCCGAGUUGAGGGCUCUCAAGUCGUCGAGUAGAUUGCUUAAAACCCCACGGCUAAUCUCAUUCUACUCAACGAGACUGGAGCUUCUAACUCGUCGAGUAGCUCUAUAAAAAUGAAUCAGUUAUAAUUAAAUCUGUACCAGGAAUCAGGCGUUACACAACGACCUAUAACACACUGCCAUCAUUCCACUAACUGGUAGGAACCCAAUCAACAUCCCACUCCGCACUUGUCAUAAAAUCUAGGAGCCAUACCAUUCUAAAGCACACACUCUGCUACAAUCUAGUGCCAUCGACACAUCGCCAAAUGAAACAUGACCACGCAUAACCAGGGUUAGAUAGAUAACCGAACUCUUGUUCUAACUUAGAAUCACAACUUUUCACACCUUCCAGGAAGAAACACAACCCCCCCCCCCCCUAGAAAAUUGUGUUCCUUCUGAAUUGUAACCUAACCCAAAAAAAUUGACAUACCAGCGAGUCGGACGAUCCGACAAACUUUGUUUAUGAACACAUGAAAGUGUAUAUCAUAAAAAACAUGUCAUAUAUCCUAAAAUUUAAAGUCUUUACAAUAUGUAAUUCUGCAUGUCAAAAGAUUGAUGUCACAAUUAAUGAAACAUGGAGUAUACCCCCGUCAAAAUGUGUGUGUCAACUACAAAGGCUGUGAUCUUAUAAUUUUGCAAACCCAACGAUCCUUUUACAAAAUCGAUUACAAAGUAGAGAGACCUAACAAAAUCAUGCUCGCUCCUAGCAUAAGCAACUAUGACUCUAACUCCUCACGUCACUAUGUCAGCGACUUCAACUCCUCACGCUCACCGCACCAACAAUUGCGUUUCACCACUACACCUCAUUCAUGACGAUUGGGGUUCAAUUAAACUGGUAUGUUUUCCUUCAUGUAUCAAAGAAGUAUGUACUUUCUUUUUCUCUUUCUUCUUCAUGAAUCAUCUUCCCUUCCUUUUUUGACAUUUCUUCACAUAAACUAUGGUGUGAAUCACUGUAAUUUUUUUUUUACGUUUUCAUGUUUAAUAUUAUAUAUUUUUCCUAUGUAUGAGUAUGCCAUAUAUGAUACAUUUUUGAUUAGUUGCACUUUCGUUUUUAUCUCCUGUAGUAAUAUAUUUCCUUAAUAACUUUCAUUCGUUAAGUUAAAUAUAAACUAUUUUUUACGAGUUUAUUUUUAUGUAUGUGUUGGUAUAACUUUAAAGCGGUCGAUGUUUCGACGAAAAUAUAGAAAUUUUGGUUUUAACUUUUUUUUUUAAAAAAAUUAUUUGGUUUUUGUGUGUACGCAUCGGUAUAUAUUUGUGUUUUCUACGUGUCGACGUAAUUUGUUUACAUAUUCUUACUAAAUUUUAUGUACAUGUACUACAUAUGAGUCGAGUCAUAUAUAAUACGCUUUUGAUUAUUUGAAAUUUCAUGUUUAUCUCUCAUAGUAUCUAUAUAAUUUGAUUUUCCUUUAUAAAUUCCGUUCAUUAACUUAAAAGAACAUGUUUUCUGGUGCUAAUUUUUAUGUAUGUGUGAGUAUAAAUUUAAAGUGGUCAACGUUUCGAUGUAAAUUUAAAACUUUCAUUCUUUAAUUAGUAAAUCUUACUUGCUUUUUUAUAUACGUAACGAUAUAAAUUGUAGUUUGUCUAUGUUUCCACAUUUUUUUUCUUGAUUUUAUGCUUAUUUUUAUGUACACGCUUGUUUUUUCUAUUCGUGCUUAUUUUGUAACGUUUUGAUGUAUUAUCUAUCAAUAUAAUCAUCAAAAUUCAACUUAAAAUAUUCAGUACUUUUAAUCACACUUUUGUUUUUUUUCGUUCGUGCAUAUUUUGUUAUGUUUUGAUGUAUCAUCUAUCAAUAUAAUCAUCAAAAUUCAACUUAAAAAAUUCAGUACUUUUAAUCACACUUUUACCGAUUGUAGUGAUAAAAGUUGAAUUUAUACGAUUGUAUUGAUAAAAGUUAGAUAUCAUUGUAUAUGUUGGUAAAAAACAUAUAAAGUUGAUACCACUGACUAACUCCGUUUUAUACCGUCAAAUAAAAACAUAUUAUAUGUGAUCAAACUUAUUCGUAGGAAACAUACAUAAACGUACAUGAAAACAAACGUAAAGAAAACUCGAAUUUAUACCGACAUCUAUAUAAAAAUAAGCAAGUAAGAUUAUAUUUUUUAAAAGUUAACGAACAAAAGUUCAAAUAAUCAAAAACGUAUUAUAUGUGACUUCGCUCAUACAUAAUAACAUACAUAAAAUUAAACAUAAUAAAUUACGUAGAAACAUACACAAAUUCAAAUUUAUACUGAAACGUACAUAAAAAAGCAAGUGAACUUUAAAAAAAAAUUAACGAACGAAAAUUCUAAAUUUACUUAGAAAAGAUGACGAACAUGAAUUUAUACCGACACAUAAAUAAUAAUAGGCACUCAAAAAAUUAACUUUUAUUAAGUUAACGAAUGAAAGUUAUCAAGAAUAGUCAGAUUAUAUGUACCAUGGAGGAUAAAAACCAAAUUUUAGAAAAAUAAGAUGAUGAAAGUAACAUUUUAUAAAGUUGAAAGUGGAUAGUCAAAAUGACUAAGUAAAGUGAUGGAAAAGUUUCAAACUCAUAAACAGAAAAUAUAGACAAAAUUAUAUACAUUUUCCAUAUGGUUUACUAUGGUCACAAAAUUAGUCCAUGCUAAACGUGAAAAGACCAAACUGUCAUCUUAUUAACGGACGAAGAGUAACGGUGUGAGCAAAAUGGACAGUUCGUUAAAGUUUAGGAAAUCAUAGGAACCAUCUUCGUCAAAAUAAAUUAGUAACGACUGAGUUUGAGUUUGUAACCUUAUGAUAAACAACAGAAACCAUUUAUGUAAUUUUUUAAGAAAAAAUUCUCAAAAGAAAUCAUAGAAACUGUGAAAUUGAAUCAACUAAUCAAGUUGUAGAUAUAUUUACCAAAAUCCUGCCUGUUUGACAAUAUUAGUUUAUUUGCAAGGAGUCGUAGAUCGUUGAUAUCAUGAUUCAAUGUCAUGAUUGAGUGGGAAUGUUAAAAAGUGGAAGUUCUCUCGUUAUUUAAAUCUUGGGAAUGUUAAAAAGUGGAAGUUAGAUUUUGAUAUUGGUUUAAUAUUUAAUGUUGAGUGCAUAUGUUCAUAAUUGUUUUGCCGGUAAAUUUAAAACAAAUUAAAUUUAAUGGAAAGGAGCAUUACCUAGUACAUAUUAUAUAGUUAUGUAUAAAUAUUAUUGCAAAAUACAGGUACUAGAUAUGUAAUAUAUGUAUAUGUAUAUGAACUCUAUGACAUAUAGUUUUCUUGGUAAUAAAAAUGCUCCUCCAGUAGUUUUUCAUCUUCUCUCUCUUGUUCUUCUAUAUUCACAUUUUGUAUUUCAAAUAUGUUUGUAUUGUUUUUUAUGUAUUGCUUGGAUAUAAGAAAUCUAUGUCUGUUUCUUGAAUUUUUUAUUUUAGUUUAUAUUUUAUCUUAUAAAUCCUUGCUUUGUCUCAUAUUCAAACCUAAAACUCACAUUUAUAUAGAGAACAUAGUCUCUGCUAUGUUACGAUAGAAACAAAGGACUGAAGGUGUACACUCCCACAUACAAAGGUAUUUUAAUAUUUUCAUUAUAGAAUUAUUAAGUUCACACAUCAUCAGAAAACCAUACAACGACACUUAUAAAACAUAAGCACUAAGGCCGGUAUAUACUACACAUAGUGAAAUAGAGCUUAAAUGCUUAUAUCAGUUGUGAGUUUGGGCCUCAUGAGCUUGUUUGUAUGCAGUUGCCUCUGCAUAAGUGCUGCAACACCUGCACCCUCCAUUGUAGUAACGUCCACCACCACAGCAACCAUAUCUACAAUAUCCUCCUCCACGGCCGCCGCCACCGUUGUAUCGUCCACCACCGUUAUUGUAUCUUCCACCACCGUUGUUGUAUCUUCCACCACCAUUGUUGUAACCUCCACCACCGUUGUUGUAUCCUCGGUCAUCACCACCAUACUUUGCAUCUUCUACCUCACCUGCAUCAAUCAUCAUUUCAGUAAUGUACAUUUUAUUGCAUGAAUCCUGUAUAGAAUUCCGGGAAUUGUAAAGGAAACAUCCUGUACAAAAACCCAAUUUCAUCUAUAGAUGAACAUUAAAUUUACUCACUGUGAUUGUUGGACUCCAGGUUCUUAGCUGCAGCCAUUUCGGAGCUAAUGAAAAGAAUAGUGGCCAGAACAAGUGCAAGAAGAAGGAAAGUCUUGGAAGACAUUUUGACGUGUUUCAGAAAAAAAAUAUAUUCAGAAAGAAACUAUAUGGAAGAAGGAUGAAGAAGCAUUGUGGUAAUAUUCCUCUAUUUAUGGAAGGAUUUAUGCAGAUGAAGAUUUAUUGCAGAUUGGUUGGGUGGUUAGGAGCUGGUGGGACCAAGCUUUGAUUGGCUUUGACAUUUUGAAACCUAAUUCUUAUCCUCAA
RNAcentral lists this long non-coding RNA (13150 nucleotides) under Lactuca sativa (garden lettuce). RNAcentral's name for it is "long non-coding RNA (LSAT_LNC007605)". The record is from RNAcentral. Lineage: Eukaryota; Viridiplantae; Streptophyta; Magnoliopsida; Asterales; Asteraceae.